This is a ribosomal RNA of 402 nucleotides. It matches the Rfam family "Bacterial small subunit ribosomal RNA", at positions 355 to 774 of the family's 1533-position model.
UGGGGAAUAUUGGGCAAUGGGGGAAACCCUGACCCAGCAACGCCGCGUGAAGGAAGAAGGCUUUCGGGUUGUAAACUUCUUUUAUUUAGGAAGAUAAUGACGGUACUAGAUGAAUAAGCCACGGCUAACUACGUGCCAGCAGCCGCGGUAAUACGUAGGUGGCAAGCGUUGUCCGGAUUUACUGGGUGUAAAGGGCGUGUAGGUGGGAAGAUAAGUCUGAUGUGAAAUACCACGGCUCAACCGUGGGGCUGCAUUGGAAACUAUUUUUCUUGAGUGAUGGAGAGGCAGGCGGAAUUCCGUGUGUAGCGGUGGAAUGCAUAGAUAUACGGAGGAACACCAGUGGCGAAGGCGGCCUGCUGGACAUUAACUGACACUGAGGCGCGAAAGCGUGGGGAGCAAACA